Molecule: long non-coding RNA, 560 nt
Organism: Crotalus tigris (Tiger rattlesnake)
Lineage: Eukaryota; Metazoa; Chordata; Lepidosauria; Squamata; Viperidae
Exons: 2
Source: RefSeq, a predicted model, not a curated record
CCCCCACACCUUUCUCUCCCACGUUGUUGUGCGGGCACGAGUCGAUGGCUCUAGCUCUGGGAAGGUUCCAGAAUGGAACGGAGCUUAAGUAGAAAUCGAGGGUGGCGGCGUGGAAGGGUGAAUGGGGGAUUUUUGUCACUGUUCGUUAGCUCUAAAUUGUUAAGUUUCGUGCUUCUCCGAAGUAAGAUGUGAGUGGACGGAGUGUGUGCAGACGUGUUGCAUCAGCCUGCAAGGUCGGGGAAAGGUUUGGUAAUGUUAAAGCAGAUGUUUUGGAGAAAAAUGAAACAAAUGAUUGUGAGAGAAACCAGAGGUACAAGAAACCAGCCUGUGCCAGUCUUCAAGGCCAUGAAGCUUGAGAACGGAAUAUGGAUUGCUCCAAACGUCCGAGAGGUUCUCAAAACACCUCUGCGGUUCACCAUUGGCUGAAGACGAACUGGUCAGGGGGGAGGGCCAGGGCAAAAGGGAAAAAGUUUGUAACCUUUUGCAUGGGAACUUUAGUUCUAGCCUGCCUUUACUGCAGCCAGCAAUCUUUAGUAAAAGAACCUAUCAGUUCAACAAAA